This 427-nucleotide ribosomal RNA is filed under the name uncultured bacterium. RNAcentral's name for it is "partial 16S ribosomal RNA". It matches the Rfam family "Bacterial small subunit ribosomal RNA", at positions 355 to 774 of the family's 1533-position model. The record is from RNAcentral.
UGGGGAAUAUUGCACAAUGGGCGCAAGCCUGAUGCAGCCAUGCCGCGUGUAUGAAGAAGGCCUUCGGGUUGUAAAGUACUUUCAGCGGGGAGGAAGGCGUUGUGGUUAAUAACCGCAGCGAUUGACGUUACUCGCAGAAGAAGCACCGGCGAACUCCGUGCCAGCAGCCGCGGUAAUACGGAGGGUGCAAGCGUUAAUCGGAAUUACUGGGCGUAAAGCGCACGCAGGCGGUCUGUCAAGUCGGAUGUGAAAUCCCCGGGCUCAACCUGGGAACUGCAUCCGAAACUGGCAGGCUAGAGUCUUGUAGAGGGGGGUAGAAUUCCAGGUGUAGCGGUGAAAUGCGUAGAGAUCUGGAGGAAUACCGGUGGCGAAGGCGGCCCCCUGGACAAAGACUGACGCUCAGGUGCGAAAGCGUGGGGAGCAAACA